Molecule: ribosomal RNA, 529 nt
Filed under: uncultured bacterium
Lineage: Bacteria
Description: partial 16S ribosomal RNA
Rfam family: Bacterial small subunit ribosomal RNA
Source: RNAcentral
UGGGGAAUAUUGCACAAUGGGCGAAAGCCUGAUGCAGCGACGCCGCGUGAGGGAUGACGGCCUUCGGGUUGUAAACCUCUUUCAGCAGGGAAGAAGCGAAAGUGACGGUACCUGCAGAAGAAGCGCCGGCUAACUACGUGCCAGCAGCCGCGGUAAUACGUAGGGCGCAAGCGUUGUCCGGAAUUAUUGGGCGUAAAGAGCUCGUAGGCGGUUAGUCGCGUCUGCUGUGAAAACUCGAGGCUCAACCUCGGGCUUGCAGUGGGUACGGGCUGACUAGAGUGCGGUAGGGGUGACUGGAAUUCCUGGUGUAGCGGUGGAAUGCGCAGAUAUCAGGAGGAACACCGAUGGCGAAGGCAGGUCACUGGGCCGCAACUGACGCUGAGGAGCGAAAGCAUGGGGAGCGAACAGGAUUAGAUACCCUGGUAGUCCAUGCCGUAAACGUUGGGCACUAGGUGUGGGUCCAUUCCACGGAUUCCGUGCCGCAGCAAACGCAUUAAGUGCCCCGCCUGGGGAGUACGGCCGCAAGGCU